GGGAAGCUGGUCGGCCUUAUUGUCGGACUGAAAGCACACAUGUGAAGCUUGAUCAACUGUCACUCAUUCACUCACUCAUUCAACAUUACUUAUCGGGCACCUACUCUGUGCCAGGAACAGGUGAAAGCACAUGGCCCAUCAGCUGUAACACACAGCUCUAAGGUGAAGAACUGAAGGUCGGACUGAAUGCAAAUAUCUGCUAAAUCUGGGUGUCAGGUUUCCUAUAAUUUGGUAGCUGGAUCUAGACAGAGGUUUGAUCUGAGGUUUGAUAUGUUUUGGCAUUGCCUCACCAUCGGAAGGACUGUGCUUGAGACACUAAGGUAACACUCAAGGCCCGUUAGAAGGAAAAACAGAGCUUAGCCUGUGCUGAUGAAGAGGACAAGUAGCUCACAGCACCUAGCAACUGGGUCGUGUUUUCCCAGCUGCAGGAAUGUGGACCCUCGAGGUCACAGAACAGCAGCCGGUGCCCCAUAGAUAACUUCAGCUCUGUCUCUCACCCCAGCAAGUGUCGCUCGGGCAGCGUCUUCAUCCUGGUAGUUUCACUUCAACAUCUGUCUUGGAAAUCUCCCAGGCCCAAACUGUUUCUGUGAUUGACAUGAAACAAGAGCUUUCAUGGAGUCCUUCAGGCGCUUCUGAAGAGGCACAGGUGAGAGGCCUCUCCUGAGUCCCCUCUUUCCAUUGUCAUAUCCGCUCCGCUCCCUGCACUUCUGUCUAAAGCAAGGGGACCCUCCUUUUCAUUCAGCACUGAAA
Molecule: long non-coding RNA, 750 nt
Organism: Myotis davidii
Lineage: Eukaryota; Metazoa; Chordata; Mammalia; Chiroptera; Vespertilionidae
Exons: 4
Source: RefSeq, a predicted model, not a curated record